AUUGAACGCUGGCGGCAUGCCUUACACAUGCAAGUCGAACGGCAGCACGGGAGCAAUCCUGGUGGCGAGUGGCGAACGGGUGAGUAAUAUAUCGGAACGUGCCCGGUCGUGGGGGAUAACGUAGCGAAAGCUACGCUAAUACCGCAUACGAUCUACGGAUGAAAGCGGGGGAUCGCAAGACCUCGUGCGAUUGGAGCGGCCGAUAUCAGAUUAGGUAGUUGGUGAGGUAAAGGCUCACCAAGCCGACGAUCUGUAGCUGGUCUGAGAGGACGACCAGCCACACUGGGACUGAGACACGGCCCAGACUCCUACGGGAGGCAGCAGUGGGGAAUUUGGACAAUGGGCGCAAGCCUGAUCCAGCAAUGCCGCGUGCAGGAUGAAGGCCUCGGUU
This 391-nucleotide ribosomal RNA is filed under the name uncultured bacterium. RNAcentral describes it as "bacterial SSU rRNA". It matches the Rfam family "Bacterial small subunit ribosomal RNA", at positions 30 to 424 of the family's 1533-position model. The record is from RNAcentral.